GAGGGGGGCGGCGCGGUGGCUGGAGCAUCGCUAUGUGGAUCCCGUGCCUCAUCCGUAGCGGAAACCAGGCCAUCGUCUUCGCCGACAUCAUCUUCGCCUCUUGGCGUCGCGCCAACAACCACGUCGACUGUGUAGUUGUCCAAAGACUAGAUGAAUGUACACCGAGGAUGGAAAUACUGAUGCAUCAUAAUCUAUACACUGAUGAUCAAUUGCUGAUGUAGAAUGGAGUGAGAAAGUCAAGUUUUAUCAUAUUGAUGGUUGACUUCAAUGAGACAUUGUUGAAGCUUCUUUCUAUGCGAGCUUGCCUCCUAGUCAGGCUUUUUUGAGCUGUAUCUUCUCUAUGGAAUGUGGGCUUUUCUAGACCACAUCAAUGAGUUGUCUUGCUGAAUAUUUUUAGGCUCUCCAAAGCUGGAGUAGAGCCAUGAUUAGGAGGGCCACAAGAGGUAUAGAUUUGACUGUAAGGGUAAGAGGGUAUGAGACAAUGUUUUACAACAUAACCAUGAAGUUUACAUCUGUCUUACUGGUAAAAGUUGGUUUCUCUUACAAAAAGAUGCAGCAGAAACAGAUAUUACUUGAUGUUUAUUGUUGCCUAAGCAGCCAAAGAUGAGUAUUAUGCUGAUUUGUAGAUGGAGACUAUGAUGUUAGUCUGGUCAAAUAUGGAUUUGAUUUCUCUUCCAAUAGCAUAUAUAAUGUUUAUUUUUGCAGUAUAACAUAUACAAGUGAUGCUUCAAGUUUUCCAAGAGUCAGGAUGGAUCCACUCUUUGAGAAGAUAAAGUGGAAGCAAAAAGGUGCUUUGCCACAAAACCAAAAUGAACUUACCUUCUCUUGCUUCUCUGACCAAUUCAUAGCAAAGCAGAAAAGCUGCAUUUAUAGGGUUAUCAUCAGAGACCAUGUUUUGACAGUUGCUGACAUUUGAUUGGCUGGCUCCUUGGUGAUCCAAGCCAGGAUUUUUCCAUCCCCUCUUCUGUGCUGUACUGAUGAGGAAUUAAAUUGUAAUUAGGACAAGCAUGAAUGGAAUGGAACCAUCUGCAGCUCCAUUAGCGCAGGGGGGGAGAAGACUCAGAGGACCAAAACGGAUCAAGAAAUGGACAUGGAUGCGACUGUGGCUCAUCAUUCUCAUCGAUUCGAGGAACAGCUUUGGUGUUGGUCCCCGGGAUCAGAAGUUGUUGCUGCAUGUAACCCCAGGAAGAGACAAAAAGUGGCAUUCAAAGCCCUCUCUGGGUAUGUCAUGGACGAAUGGUCACCUUGGACUCUACGUUUGGUCCAAGAGAAUACUAUAUCGGCGUUCGACUUUGAAUUCCUUCCGACUAUUGGCACCAUCAACUUUUCGGAGCACAUCCAACCUCUACUCCAUCCACUGCUCAAACCCUUUCAAAAGUAGCUGCGAUCAAGUAUGUUUUCUGGUGAUCAGUCCUUCCUUUUGUCUUCACUAAAUCUCCCUCUCCGUCAUGCUAUUGAACUGUUGGCUAAGAUUCAUGACGUAAAAUAUAUAUGUAUGUAUAUUGGUGAUGAACUCUUC
This is a long non-coding RNA of Musa acuminata AAA Group (dessert banana), 1519 nucleotides long. RefSeq lists it as uncharacterized. The record is from RefSeq and is a predicted model, not a curated record. The transcript is spliced from 5 exons. NCBI's taxonomy places the organism in Eukaryota, Viridiplantae, Streptophyta, Magnoliopsida, Zingiberales, Musaceae.